Molecule: non-coding RNA, 88 nt
Organism: Mycena leptocephala
Lineage: Eukaryota; Fungi; Basidiomycota; Agaricomycetes; Agaricales; Mycenaceae
Source: the annotation of a GenBank genome assembly
UGCAGUAUGGUGUAAUGAUGCAUGUGGGAUUUUCUUAUGGUCUGAAUAUAUCUAUCCCGAGGUCCUUGUUCGAAUCAAGGUAUUGCUC